AAUACAGGAGUGUUUAUGGUUGGGUUGAGACACAUUCAGUAGCUGAGUGAUUGACAGCAAGAGGAGCAAGACAUGAGGAGCUGGUGACACAGUUAUUAUGGAAGGAUAACUGAUAGUCUUAAGUUAAUAAUUAUCAAAUAUAUGGCAAUGCUGGACUUUAGCUGAUCAUCGUGCUUCUGGAAAACAACAAAAAUUGAGAUAUCUGUUCACCACUUUGUGUGUCCAAGGACCACCUACUUUUUACAUGUGACAAGAACUACCCACCUCCACUCUUCAGGAUAGAACAUGCUGAAGAAAAGAGUUGCAAUGAGAAAAUAUAUGGGAACAAAAUACCUAUGCAAUGCAGAAGUCUGCAUAACUGAACCACUCAGAGGAAAAAGAUUGCCAUUUCAGGACACCUCCUACAUCUGAGGAAAUAUGCAUUGAUCUUGCAGUACUUUUCUCCUCCAAAUAAAAGUCAGUAUGAUAACAACUACA
RNAcentral lists this long non-coding RNA (477 nucleotides) under Homo sapiens (human). Its description in RNAcentral is "HSALNT0294399". The record is from RNAcentral. Lineage: Eukaryota; Metazoa; Chordata; Mammalia; Primates; Hominidae.